This 451-nucleotide ribosomal RNA is filed under the name uncultured bacterium. RNAcentral's name for it is "partial 16S ribosomal RNA". It matches the Rfam family "Bacterial small subunit ribosomal RNA", at positions 28 to 507 of the family's 1533-position model. The record is from RNAcentral.
GAUGAACGCUGGCGGCGUGCCUAACACAUGCCAGUCGAGCGGCAGCGAGGGGUGCUUGCCCCCUGCCGGCGAGCGGCGGACGGCUGAGUAACGCGUGGGAACGUGCCCCAAAGUGAGGAAUAACUGCCCGAAAGGGUAGCUAAUACCGCAUAUUAUCUUCGGAUCAAAGGAUUUAUCCGCUUUGGGAGCGGCUCGCGUCGGAUUAGGUAGUUGGUGAGGUAAUGGCUCACCAAGCCGACGAUCCGUAGCUGGUCUGAGAGGAUGACCAGCCAGACUGGAACUGAGACACGGUCCAGACUCCUACGGGAGGCAGCAGUGAGGAAUCUUCCACAAUGGGCGAAAGCCUGAUGGAGCAACGCCGCGUGCAGGACGAAGGCCUUCGGGUUGUAAACUGCUUUUAUAAGUGAGGAAUAUGACGGUAACUUAUGAAUAAGGAGCGGCUAACUACGUG